RNAcentral lists this unclassified non-coding RNA (1046 nucleotides) under Athalia rosae (coleseed sawfly). Its description in RNAcentral is "misc RNA ENSAEAG00005005949.1". Lineage: Eukaryota; Metazoa; Arthropoda; Insecta; Hymenoptera; Athaliidae. The record is from RNAcentral.
UUGGAACGAACUACUCGUCGCAUUCUAAGCGCGUGCCGCGGUAAAUAUGUACAUAAUAUUCCUACCGAACAAAUAUCGGGCAGAUUGAUUGUUGUAACGUAGAUACGUACAUACAUACGAGGCAAUGAUCGAAUAUCGGUAGCGAGCACUCACAUAUAUUAUUCGUGCAACAAAACCAAACCUUGGCAUGGACAUCAAAUUAUAAAAGUGCUGAUUGCUGCUGCCGUUGCACCAACAGUGGCGGCGGGAUUAACAAUCAUCGGAAACCAUCGUGACAACACACAUAGAUGCAUUCCUUAUACGUCCCGAAGAUGAAAGGUAAGAAGAUGUUGGCAAGUCAACGACCGAUACGGUUCUCACUUCCCAAACUGGAGGAAUUCCUUGGGGCAUAUACAUAUACGUAUAUACAUAUGUAUAUAUACGGAGUGGUUCUCACACGUGCAACAUCCGUUGGUUGGCACCUCGCUCAGGUGGUUGAAAUACAAACCCCACGGUGAAAAUGAUAAGGGAACCAGAAGGGGGUUUCGAUACCAAGUCGAAGAACUGCGGGGGAUCCAAAAAUGAAGUUUAAUAUCCUAUAUGCAUAUCCACAUGACUUUCAAAGAAUUUGUCACUUAAAACAACACAAAAUAUGACACACUGGUAGGUUACUGCAAACCGUAGCACCGUGCACAGUUAAUUUCUGAUAAUAUCUGGUCGAAAUCACCGCAUUGUUAUAUUUGAACAAGUACUGUCAUAGCGCAUUAUGUUAUGAAAUAAAUAUCGUCGAUGAUGAUAUUACCUUGACUAAAAGAAAACACAGAUGGAAAAAGGCGUGCGCACGCGUGCAGUGGCCGGUUACGAGGAGAUUCCACUUUUAACUAAUUGAUUGCGCUGAAAAAAAAUCGCGCGCAAUUAUCCUUUGCCCUUUUUCCGGUUAGUUUAAACACUUGGACAGUUGUUAGCGGUUUCCGAUCAUCCGGCUACGACCGUUCCUUCCGUCGUCAAGGCACUUCCUCUACUGAAGGACGGGACGUUGCAGCGCUCGGGGAGGCUUUCGAGAGCGC